CGUAACCUUCGAGGUCUCUAAAUGUAUUCAUUAAGCCCUUCAAGACCUUAAUUAAAGUAAUUCAAGGGCUUCAAAUAUAUUUAAAAAAAUUGAACUUCAAGUACUUACUAAUUCAAGUAAUUCAAAAAGGCUAAGAUAUAAAUUAAUUACAUAUAUGAAAUUAAAGAAGUUGGCAACAAAAAUCAAAAGUAAAGAAACUGAUUUUAUAUUUUCAAAAUUCGCUAGGUUAGCAGGGUACAGCCGCGCGGCUAUACUAUUUAAAAAAAAAUUAAGAAAAUCUAGUAUAGCCGGGCGGCUAUACUAUUUAUAUACAUAAUAGGGAUCCAGCCAGCACCUAGGCGCCACGUGUCAAACCAUGCGGCCGUACUGUUCUGAACAUUUAAAAAAAAACAAAAAAAGGGGUUAAAACCGAGUAUAGCCGCGCGGCUAUACUAUUUCAAAAAAAAAAAUUUUAAAAUCUAUUAUAGCCGGGCGGCUGUACUAUUUAUAUACAUAAUAGGGAUCCAGCCAGCACCUAGGCGCCACGUGUCAAACCUUGCGGCUGUACAGUUCUGAACAUUUUUUUUUUCAAAAAAAAAAAGGGGUUAAAAGCGAGUAUAGCCGCUCGGCUAUACUAUUUUAAAAAAAAUUUAAAAAAUCUAGCCAGCACCUAGGCGCCACGUGUCAAACCAUGCGGCUGUACUGUUUUUAAAAUCUGGAAAAAAAAGGGUUUAAAAGCGCGUAUAGCCGUGCGGCUAUACUAUUUUUAUAUUUUAAAAAGGGUCAAUAAUGUUUUUUAAGAAAAAAAAAAGGUUAUUUUUAGUAAUUAAACAAUCUCUUAGCCUGAUUUAAUUACUUGAAUUAUGAAUUAGGUCCUACCUAUUAUUUAUCUAGUGAAUAAUUGAUAUUAAAUAUUUUAAUUAACUUCAUAAAUGAUAUUACUUAAUAUAUAUCUUGCAUUUUUGUAAGAAACUAGUGAGCUCUCACAUUCCUUCAUAGUUAGUAAAAUACGGGAAGGAAAAAAAUGCGAAUNNNNNNNNNNNNNNNNNNNNNNNNNNNNNNNNNNNNNNNNNNNNNNNNNNNNNNNNNNNNNNNNNNNNNNNNNNNNNNNNNNNNNNNNNNNNNNNNNNNNGUCACUAUUUUUUUAAAUUAUAUAUUUAUUUUUUAUUCCCAUAAAUAUAGGGCCGUGGUAUACCGGUGUGUUAAACAUGAAAAAACAACGUUACGUACCAUGUUAUAAUACGUAACCCUUCGAGGUUUCUUAAAAGGUAUUUCAUUUAAGCCCUUCAAAGACCUUAAUUUAAAGUAAUUCAAGGGCCUUCAAAAUAUAUUUUAAAAAAAUUGAACUUUCAAAGUACCUUAUUAAUUCCAAGUAAUUCAAAAAAAGGCUAAGAUAUAAAUUAAUUUACAUAUAUGAAAUUUAAAGAAAGUUGGCCAACAAAAAUCAAAAGUAAAAGAAACUGAUUUUUAUUUUUUUCAAAAUUCGCUAGGUUAGCAGGGGUACAGCCCGCGCGGCUAUACUAUUUAAAAAAAAAUUAAGAAAAUCUAGUAUAGCCGGGCGGCUAUACUAUUUAUAUACAUAAUAGGGAUCCAGCCAGCACCUAGGCGCCACGUGUCAAACCAUGCGGCCGUACUGUUCUGAACAUUUUAAAAAAAACAAAAAAAGGGGUUAAAACCGAGUAUAGCCGCGCGGCUAUACUAUUUCAAAAAAAAAAAUUUAAAAAUCUAUUAUAGCCGGGCGGCUGUACUAUUUAUAUACAUAAUAGGGAUCCAGCCAGCACCUAGGCGCCACGUGUCAAACCUUGCGGCUGUACAGUUUUGAACAUUUUUUUUUUUCAAAAAAAAAAAGGGGUUAAAAGCGAGUAUAGCCGCUCGGCUAUACUAUUUUAAAAAAAAUUUAAAAAAUCUAGCCAGCACCUAGGCGCCACGUGUCAAACCAUGCGGCUGUACUUUUUUUAAAAUCUGGAAAAAAAAGGGUUUAAAGCGCGUAUAGCCGUGCGGCUAUACUAUUUUUAUAUUUUAAAAAGGGUCAAUAAUGUUUUUUAAGAAAAAAAAAAGGUUAUUUUUAGUAAUUAAACAAUCUCUUAGCCUGAUUUAAUUACUUGAAUUAUGAAUUAGGUCCUACCUAUUAUUUAUCUAGUGAAUAAUUGAUAUUAAAUAUUUUAAUUAACUUCAUAAAUGAUAUUACUUAAUAUAUAUCUUGCAUUUUUGUUAGAACAAGUGAGCUCUCACAUUCAUUCAUAGUUAGUAAAAUACGGAAGGGAAAAAAAUGCGAAUUAAAUACGUAUGUGUUUGAUUCGGCAAUAUCUUGGCACAUUACAACCCAAAAAUUCGGUCACUAUACUGUAUUUUUUAAAUAUAUAUUAUUUUUAUUCCAUAAUAUGUGCGUGUAUACGUGUGUUAAACAUGAAAAACACGUACGUACAUGUAUAAUACGUAACCUUCGAGGUCUCUAAAUGUAUUCAUUAAGCCCUUCAAGACCUUAAUUAAAGUAAUUCAAGGGCUUCAAAUAUAUUUAAAAAAAUUGAACUUCAAGUACUUACUAAUUCAAGUAAUUCAAAAAGGCUAAGAUAUAAAUUAAUUACAUAUAUGAAAUUAAAGAAGUUGGCAACAAAAAUCAAAAGUAAAGAAACUGAUUUUAUAUUUUCAAAAUUCGCUAGGUUAGCAGGGUACAGCCGCGCGGCUAUACUAUUUAAAAAAAAAUUAAGAAAAUCUAGUAUAGCCGGGCGGCUAUACUAUUUAUAUACAUAAUAGGGAUCCAGCCAGCACCUAGGCGCCACGUGUCAAACCAUGCGGCCGUACUGUUCUGAACAUUUAAAAAAAAACAAAAAAAGGGGUUAAAACCGAGUAUAGCCGCGCGGCUAUACUAUUCAAAAAAAAAAAUUUAAAAUCUGUUACACCCGGGCGGCUGUACUAUUUAUAUACAUAAUAGGGAUCCAGCCAGCACCUAGGCGCCACGUGUCAAACCAUGCGGCCGUACUGUUCUGAACAUUUUUUUUUUCAAAAAAAAAAAGGGGUUAAAAGCGAGUAUAGCCGCUCGGCUACACUAUUUUAAAAAAAAUUUAAAAAAUCUAGCCAGCACCUAGGCGCCACGUGUCAAACCAUGCGGCUGUACUGUUUUUAAAAUCUGGAAAAAAAAGGGUUUAAAGCGCGUAUAGCCGUGCGGCUAUACUAUUUUUAUAUUUUAAAAAGGGUCAAUAAUGUUUUUUAAGAAAAAAAAAAGGUUAUUUUUAGUAAUUAAACAAUCUCUUAGCCUGAUUUAAUUACUUGAAUUAUGAAUUAGGUCCUACCUAUUAUUUAUCUAGUGAAUAAUUGAUAUUAAAUAUUUUAAUUAACUUCAUAAAUGAUAUUACUUAAUAUAUAUCUUGCAUUUUUGUUAGAACAAGUGAGCUCUCACAUUCAUUCAUAGUUAGUAAAAUACGGAAGGGAAAAAAAUGCGAAUUAAAUACGUAUGUGUUUGAUUCGGCAAUAUCUUGGCACAUUACAACCCAAAAAUUCGGUCACUA
This 3485-nucleotide long non-coding RNA is filed under the name Prunus persica (peach). RNAcentral describes it as "long non-coding RNA (PPER_LNC008755)". Lineage: Eukaryota; Viridiplantae; Streptophyta; Magnoliopsida; Rosales; Rosaceae. The record is from RNAcentral.